RNAcentral lists this unclassified non-coding RNA (324 nucleotides) under Hevea brasiliensis (rubber tree). The record is from RNAcentral. Lineage: Eukaryota; Viridiplantae; Streptophyta; Magnoliopsida; Malpighiales; Euphorbiaceae.
GAAUUAACUUAAUCGUAGCCAUGAAAAACGAUAAGAAGGUGGCUUUGAGUCCUGUUUCGUAAACAAGAUCCAGAAAUGACUGAAGCAACCGAGCCAAUAGUAGGACCAAAAGAGGACCAAAAACGAGAGCCAGUGGCUCGUAGUUGGACAGGAAAGCAUUGGCAGAGGCUCUGAAUUCCACCAAAACCGACUUGACAGAUGAAUCCAUCGCGAAAGAGAUAGAAAUACGCCACUACAAGGGGAAGAAGAAGAAGAAGAACAGUGAAUUACAAGAUUGCGUCUUACAGAGAAACACUUGAGACAGAGUAGAUGGAGAUGGAGAUG